This 299-nucleotide ribosomal RNA is filed under the name uncultured fungus. RNAcentral's name for it is "partial 18S ribosomal RNA". It matches the Rfam family "Eukaryotic small subunit ribosomal RNA", at positions 69 to 370 of the family's 1831-position model. Lineage: Eukaryota; Fungi. The record is from RNAcentral.
AUAGCAUUAUACCGUGAAACUGCGAAUGGCUCAUUAAAUCAGUUAUCGUUUAUUUGAUAGUACCUUACUACUUGGAUAACCGUGGUAAUUCUAGAGCUAAUACAUGCUGAAAACCCCAACUUCGGGAGGGGUGUAUUUAUUAGAUAAAAAACCAACGCCCUUCGGGGCUUCUUGGUGAUUCAUGAUAACUUUGCGGAUCGCAUGGCCUUGCGCCGGCGACGGUUCAUUCAAAUUUCUGCCCUAUCAACUUUCGAUGGUAAGGUAUUGGCUUACCAUGGUUUCAACGGGUAACGGGGAAU